UCUCUGGUGGACCUGUUGUCCUGCCAAGGGCAUAGCAGGGUAGCUAUAUAUGGAAGGGAUAACCGCUGAAGGCAUCUAAGCGGGAAACCCACCUGAAAACGAGUAUUCCCUUGAGAACCGUGGAAGACGACCACGUUGAUAGGCCGGGUGUGGAAGUGCGGCAACGCAUGAAGCUUACCGGUACUAAUCGUUCGAUCGGCUUGAUCGUUCC
Molecule: ribosomal RNA, 211 nt
Filed under: Mesorhizobium sp.
Lineage: Bacteria; Pseudomonadati; Pseudomonadota; Alphaproteobacteria; Hyphomicrobiales; Phyllobacteriaceae
Description: partial 23S ribosomal RNA
Rfam family: Bacterial large subunit ribosomal RNA
Source: RNAcentral